This 253-nucleotide long non-coding RNA is filed under the name Sorghum bicolor (sorghum). RNAcentral describes it as "long non-coding RNA (SBIC_LNC005231)". The record is from RNAcentral. Lineage: Eukaryota; Viridiplantae; Streptophyta; Magnoliopsida; Poales; Poaceae.
AGGACCGUCAACAAACUCCUCCAUGUUUUGCUUGAAGUGUACCUGUUCAUAGAGACAAGACAGAGAUCAAAUGCAUGGGCCCUGUUGGUGGAAAACACCAACAGAACCAAAGGUGUAUUUGUUCUUCUCUAACCUUAAGCAUAGUGAGCAAGACAAAGUUGAUGGAUCAAGAGUGUAGCAUUUGUCAGAUGAGAUGGCUCAACCUAAUGGAAAGAUAAUCUAUCUAUAUUUAUGUUUUGUUUAUAUCUUCCAA